AGAGCGAACGCUGGCGGCAGGCCUAAUACAUGCAAGUCGAACGGACCCUUCGGGGUUAGUGGCGGACGGGUGAGUAACACGUGGGAACGUGCCCUUUGGUUCGGAACAACUCAGGGAAACUUGAGCUAAUACCGGAUGUGCCCUUCGGGGGAAAGAUUUAUCGCCAUUGGAGCGGCCCGCGUCUGAUUAGCUAGUUGGUGGGGUAAAGGCCCACCAAGGCUACGAUCAGUAGCUGGUCUGAGAGGAUGAUCAGCCACACUGGGACUGAGACACGGCCCAGACUCCUACGGGAGGCAGCAGUAGGGAAUCUUGCGCAAUGGGCGAAAGCCUGACGCAGCCAUGCCGCGUGAAUGAUGAAGGUCUUAGGAUUGUAAAAUUCUUUCAGCGGGGACGAUAAUGACGGUACCCGCAGAAGAAGCCCCGGCUAACUUCGUGCCACAGCCGC
This 445-nucleotide ribosomal RNA is filed under the name uncultured bacterium. RNAcentral describes it as "SSU rRNA". It matches the Rfam family "Bacterial small subunit ribosomal RNA", at positions 26 to 518 of the family's 1533-position model. The record is from RNAcentral.